GAGUGUGUAGCUCAGGUGGUAGAGCGCAUGCUUAGCACGCAUGAGGUCCUGGGUUCAAUCGCCAGACCCUCC
RNAcentral lists this transfer RNA (72 nucleotides) under Camelus dromedarius (Arabian camel). It matches the Rfam family "tRNA", at positions 1 to 60 of the family's 71-position model. Rfam says of the family: Transfer RNA (tRNA) molecules are approximately 80 nucleotides in length. Their secondary structure includes four short double-helical elements and three loops (D, anti-codon, and T loops). Further hydrogen bonds mediate the characteristic L-shaped molecular structure. tRNAs have two regions of fundamental functional importance: the anti-codon, which is responsible for specific mRNA codon recognition, and the 3' end, to which the tRNAs corresponding amino acid is attached (by aminoacyl-tRNA synthetases). tRNAs cope with the degeneracy of the genetic code in two manners: having more than one tRNA (with a specific anti-codon) for a particular amino acid; and 'wobble' base-pairing, i.e. permitting non-standard base-pairing at the 3rd anti-codon position. Lineage: Eukaryota; Metazoa; Chordata; Mammalia; Artiodactyla; Camelidae. The record is from Rfam by way of RNAcentral. RNAcentral also lists the same sequence under 1 other name.